CCUACGGGAGGCAGCAGUGGGGAAUAUUGGACAAUGGGGGGAACCCUGAUCCAGCGACGCCGCGUGAGUGAAGAAGUCUUUCGGUAUGUAAAGCUCUAUCAGCAGGGAAGAAAGAAAUGACGGUACCUGACUAAGAAGCCGCGGCUAACUACGGGCCAGCAGCCGCGGUAAUACGUAGGGGGCAAGCGUUAUCCGGAUUUACUGGGUGUAACGGGAGCGUAGACGGGAAUGCAAGUCUGAAGUGAAAGGCGGGGGCCCAACCCCCGGACUGCCUUGGAAACUGUAUGGCUGGAGUGGAGGAGAGGUAAGUGGAAUGCCUAGUGUAGCGGUGAAAUGCGUAGAUAUUAGGAGAAACACCAGUGGCGAAGGCGGCUUACUGGACUGUAACUGACGUUGAGGCUCGAAAGCGUGGGGAGCAAACAGGAUUAGAUACCCGGGUAGGC
Molecule: ribosomal RNA, 443 nt
Filed under: uncultured bacterium
Lineage: Bacteria
Description: partial 16S ribosomal RNA
Rfam family: Bacterial small subunit ribosomal RNA
Source: RNAcentral